Molecule: long non-coding RNA, 302 nt
Filed under: Mytilus galloprovincialis (Mediterranean mussel)
Lineage: Eukaryota; Metazoa; Mollusca; Bivalvia; Mytilida; Mytilidae
Source: RNAcentral
GGAGCUACCAUUUGAUUUUUAUGGGGGUGGGGCUAGGAUGAAAAAUUUUGUCCUGCAUUUUUUUUUAGCUGUAAUCUCUGUCCUGCAUUUUUAUUUUUCACUCUGUUCGGUCCUGCCUUUUUUUUUUUAGUUUAUCCUGACUUUUUUUUACCUAAAUUGUCGUCCUGACUUUUUUUUUUUGCAAGUGUCUCAUCCUGCCUUUUUUUUACUCAAAACUCCUGUCCUGCCUAUUUUUUUCAAAAUUUCAUUCCUAGCCCCCCCCCCCCCCCCCCCAUAAAAAUCAAAUGGUAGCUCCCUUAGGU